AAGUGACUGGCUGAGCAUCGACAAAAUAAUUUCCUUUUGGCCCCCAUAUAAUGGUACAAAAUGUAGAAAAGCUGUUGAAAAAAAUGAAACUCCUGAUGAAGAAUGGAACGAAUAUAUAACUGAAUGGGUGGCUGAGUAUGAUUCCUAUGAAAAAGCCAGAAGAAAGCUGGUGAAGUUUUGUAAAGGCAACAGUUUGGAGUCUACAGAUGAGGACAGUGUACGGAAAAGAGUACCAUCAUCAAAAUAUGUAAAUGGGUUUACAUCUAAUACAGCCUCAGGAAGACCUCCAGUGCAGGCCUCAACAAGCUGGCUCCACACAGAGACAAUGGAAAGACCAAAAAAAAAAAAAACUUCUGCAGUAAUGGAGCCAAAAGACUGAAAUUGCCAGCCAUACCACCAUUUGCACCAUCAGCACCUGCUGUGACAGUCCCUGAAACAAGACAAGAUGAUGCAGCCAAAAAACAAGGAGCAAAAGUGGUGGAAGCAGAGGAAAAAAUAAAAACCUGGCUGAAGUAUAGUGGAGACCGAAAUGGAGGAAGAAAAAAAAAAGAGCAACAGAAAAAGAAAAGCAGAAGCCUCAAGCAGAUUCCAGCAGCUGUGAAAGUGAAUAGACUGAUGAACACAAUCUUGUUCUCAUCCACUGAUUAAACCCUAUUCACUGGAAAGCAUAAUUCAGUAAUCUGCUCUUGAAGAGCUGCACACGGUCGUCUGCUGUGACACAGCUGUGGUCUGUUUGUCCCGCACAUGCUCUCCUGUGCUGACUUCUGUGUUUUGGGGUUCCAGUGUAUCAUCGUCAUGAUCCUCUACAAUUUGUGGAUCCGCAAUGUACUCAUUCAGAAGACGGAGGUUGUGGAGCACUGCACAGCAUGCAACAACAUCUGCACAAAGGCAGAACUCACUUCCAGGGCCUUGAAGAAGAAGAAGAUGGAGCACAGCUUGUCUUCAUCAUCCUGAAGGCUCUCUCAACAAUGUUCUGUGCACGAGCAUCAUUGGUGUUGAAUCAAAGCUGUGCAGGAUUCUGUUCAGGCUCUCUGUCUGCUGUGAUGAGGCAGAUGUGUGCACUCAAACAAGGACACCCACCAUCUCCCAGGAUGUGUUUUCCUGCAGGUGGAUACAGGCCUCCAGAGUUCUUCAGCACCCUGGCAUCAUACACAGACCCGGGAUACUCAACAAAGAUAUCAAGGUACUUCCCAUGGUGGUGACCUGCAGCUGAACAGAAUGAAACCGCUUCCUGUUGAAAUAACAUUAGGCAUCACUUGCUGGAGGUUCAGUUUGUAUGUGACAGCCAUCUAUUGUGUCAGCUACCAGAAGAAAAGCUGCUUCCACUGCCUCCAGGUCAUCUGUGGUGAAGAAGGCAAUCAGCCUCCUCAAAAUCCCCAUGACAGACCUGACCUGCUCAUUCUGUGCACAAUGUUAUGCAGCUCUUGGAUGUCAAAGGCCAUUAUUGAUAGCAGCCUGUAUGACGCUGUUCACAGUCUGUUAAUAUGUAGUUUUUGUUUUUUAGAAUAAAAUUUCAAUAGGUUACACAUUUUUUGCUGAUAUAUCUAUAUCUAACUAUAUGUAUUUACAUAUGUGUGUAUAUUGUCUAUAAUGUAUAUAUUAUGUAUGUAUUUAUGUAUAUAUUUUGAUGUGUGUAUGUGUGUUUCUGUGUAUAUUUCUAUAAUGUAUUUGUGUGUAUUUAUGUGUGUGUGUG
Carassius gibelio (silver crucian carp) is the source of this 1693-nucleotide long non-coding RNA. RefSeq lists it as uncharacterized. NCBI's taxonomy places the organism in Eukaryota, Metazoa, Chordata, Actinopteri, Cypriniformes, Cyprinidae. The record is from RefSeq and is a predicted model, not a curated record. The transcript has 8 exons.